This 516-nucleotide ribosomal RNA is filed under the name uncultured bacterium. RNAcentral's name for it is "partial 16S ribosomal RNA". It matches the Rfam family "Bacterial small subunit ribosomal RNA", at positions 28 to 523 of the family's 1533-position model. The record is from RNAcentral.
GACGAACGCUGGCGGCGUGCCUAACACAUGCAAGUCGAACGGAGUGUUUAUUUAUAAACACUUAGUGGCGAACGGGUGAGUAACGCGUAGACAACCUACCCUCUAGAUGGGGACAACACCGCGAAAGUGGUGCUAAUACCGAAUGUUGUAAUGUUAUUGCAUAAUGAUAUUACUAAAGGUGGCCUCUAUAUAAAAGCUACCGCUAGAAGAUGGGUCUGCGUCUGAUUAGCUAGUUGGUGAGAUUACAGCUCACCAAGGCAAUGAUCAGUAGCCGGUCUGAGAGGAUGAACGGCCACACUGGGACUGAGACACGGCCCAGACUCCUACGGGAGGCAGCGGUGGGGAAUCUUCCGCAAUGGACGAAAGUCUGACGGAGCAACGCCGCGUGAGUGAAGAAGGUUUUCGGAUCGUAAAGCUCUGUCUUCAAGGACGAAUGUAGAUAUUGUGAAUAAUGAUAUUUAAUGACGGUACUUGAGGAGGAAGCCACGGCUAACUACGUGCCAGCCGCCGCGGUAA